Molecule: long non-coding RNA, 655 nt
Filed under: Felis catus (domestic cat)
Lineage: Eukaryota; Metazoa; Chordata; Mammalia; Carnivora; Felidae
Description: lncRNA (ENSFCAG00000043060.2)
Source: RNAcentral
CCCCGUGUGUACACAGGGAAACAGGCUUGGGCACACAAACUACAUCGUUGUAGAGGUGCACAUACACUGAUGCGCCCAGAAAUAUACACACACACACGCACACACACACACACGCACACGCACAGGUUGCUCUCCAGCCUGCUCAUCUUCCUUUCUCCCUAGGUCCCCCUGCAAACACGUCUGUGACCACGGAUAGGGUCACUGUCUGUGUCACCUGCUCAGGACUCAAUCGUUGUGACACUGUCCUCUGCCCAGCAGAUCGGAACUACUGCCUUCAGACAGCAGGCAUCCUAGCCUUAGGGAAAGGGGACUCUGUCGUCUGGAGAAGCGGCUCCUGUGUGGCCCUCAGGGACUGCCUACUUGGCAGCUCUGUCUCUGCCUUCACCUCCAGCGUGGACUUUGGCUUCCAGAUCAACUCCACCUGUUGCCAAGGCAACUGCCAAGCACUCACUCCUCCCGAAGGGGUGCCAGCCUCACACCCCCUGAGCGGGUUCCUGUGUCCUACAUGUUCUAACGGCCACCCGGGGCCCUGCAAUUCCUCCUUCUACGUGCAGUGUCCCGUUGGGGAGACUGAAUGUGUCCAGCUGGACCUGCUGUCUAUAGAAGGUAAUAUACACGUGUGUACGUGCACGCGUGUGCCCGUGAGUAAGCCUGA